UUAAGCAUAUAAUUAAGCGGAGGAAAAGAAACUAACUAGGAUUCCCCCAGUAAGGGCGACUGAAGCGGGANGAGCUCAAGAUGUGAAUCUGCACUUUUUACAGGUGCCGAAUUGUGGUCUGAAGACUGUGACAUUAUCUGCCGGGCCAAGUCCCUUGGAAAAGGGCAGCUGAGAGGGUGAGACUCCCGUCCGCCUGGUGGAAUGAGUCGCAAGUCAACGAGUCGAGUUGUUUGGGAUUGCAGCUCAAAGCUGGUGGUAAAUUCCAUCUAAAGCUGAAUAUUGGUGGGAGACCGAUAGCGUACAAGUACCGUGAGGGAAAGAUGCAAAGAACUUUGAAAAGAGAGUUAAAGAGUACCUGAAAUUGCUGAAAGGGAAGCGAAGGAAACCAGUGUGUUGCUUGGCCAUACUUCCGUUGUCACUUGUGAUGGCGGCGCUGUGGCCNGCAGUGGUUCCGCUUGCUUGCCCCCGCUGGAAGAGCGCAGGCAGAGUUGAUGUCUGUUGCUGGCAGUGGGUGGUGAGUGAGCGAGACGAAAUGGUUUUCUUUACCCCGUCUUGAAACCGGGAAC
RNAcentral lists this ribosomal RNA (566 nucleotides) under Nitzschia frustulum. Its description in RNAcentral is "partial large subunit ribosomal RNA". It matches the Rfam family "Eukaryotic large subunit ribosomal RNA", at positions 34 to 664 of the family's 3401-position model. The record is from RNAcentral. Lineage: Eukaryota; Bacillariophyta; Bacillariophyceae; Bacillariales; Bacillariaceae.